RNAcentral lists this ribosomal RNA (427 nucleotides) under uncultured bacterium. RNAcentral describes it as "bacterial SSU rRNA". It matches the Rfam family "Bacterial small subunit ribosomal RNA", at positions 355 to 774 of the family's 1533-position model. The record is from RNAcentral.
UGGGGAAUUUUGGACAAUGGGCGAAAGCCUGAUCCAGCAAUGCCGCGUGCAGGAUGAAGGCCUUCGGGUUGUAAACUGCUUUUGUACGGAACGAAAAAGCUUCUCCUAAUACGAGAGGCCCAUGACGGUACCGUAAGAAUAAGCACCGGCUAACUACGUGCCAGCAGCCGCGGUAAUACGUAGGGUGCGAGCGUUAAUCGGAAUUACUGGGCGUAAAGCGUGCGCAGGCGGUUAUGUAAGACAGAGGUGAAAUCCCCGGGCUCAACCUGGGAACUGCCUUUGUGACUGCAUAGCUAGAGUACGGUAGAGGGGGAUGGAAUUCCGCGUGUAGCAGUGAAAUGCGUAGAUAUGCGGAGGAACACCGAUGGCGAAGGCAAUCCCCUGGACCUGUACUGACGCUCAUGCACGAAAGCGUGGGGAGCAAACA